CAGCCCUUUUAAUCGGAUGGAAGGCUUGGGUUAAAUUGCAUCCUGUGCAUGAAUAUUUUUAAAUUUUUUAUUUAUUUUAAUUAAAUUGUAAACUAAAUUAUUAUGUUUAUAAUUUAUUUUAUGUUGAAAUCUAUUAUUGUGGUAGCUAUUUUUCUAUAAAUCAAAUUAUAUGAAUUUGAUGGCGUACCUAUCAAAAUCCUGUAACUU
This 207-nucleotide long non-coding RNA is filed under the name Elaeis guineensis (African oil palm). Its description in RNAcentral is "long non-coding RNA (EGUI_LNC006009)". The record is from RNAcentral. Lineage: Eukaryota; Viridiplantae; Streptophyta; Magnoliopsida; Arecales; Arecaceae.